AAUAUUACGUUAUCUUGAAAGCUUUUGAAUAAAAUGAUUCCCAAAACUUAAACCAUAUUAAACAUAAUUUUUGAGCAAAUAAAGCAUGAUGGAAAUGAUAAUAUGCAAUGCGAAGUAAUAAUUCGUAAACCAAAAAAAGUACUCUAAUGGAUGACAAAUAAUCGAUAAGUACAAAUAAGCAAUACAAUACACAUAAGGGCAAUAAUAUCACAAUGCAUGUUAUUUUAAUGUCGAUAUUUAACAACAAGAAAAAUGAAACAAAAUAAUAUAUAUAGAACAAUUUGAAGUAAAUAGUGUAAAACAAUUCAAAGUAAAUAAUAUGCAACAUAAUUAAAGACAUGCAAAGCAAAAAUAAAUAACAUAGAAGACGAUUUUAAAAUAAUAUAUAAAAAGUUGAAAACAAAUAAUAUGUAAAAAGAAAAUUUCAAACAAAGGAUAUACAAAACAAUUUCUUUUAGAAAAAUGAUAUAUGAAAACAAUUCCAAAUAAAUAAUAUACAAAAAAAUAAAAUGGAUAAUAGUUUAAUAUGGUUUGAAAUGCUUAACAUAUGAAAAACUUAAAAUAAAUAAUAAAAUAAAUAAAUAAUACAUGAGGAAAAGUAUUAAAUAAAAAAAUUGCAAAAUAAAUCGAAAUCAACAGAUUUGGGACUAAUUUGGGUUGAAAAUGAAAUUUAAAGGCAUAAAUUACAAAUAAAAGGAAACAGGGGCCAACUAAACUGCGCCGAAAAAGGGCGAGGACC
This 739-nucleotide long non-coding RNA is filed under the name Gossypium raimondii (Peruvian cotton). RNAcentral's name for it is "long non-coding RNA (GRAI_LNC003913)". The record is from RNAcentral. Lineage: Eukaryota; Viridiplantae; Streptophyta; Magnoliopsida; Malvales; Malvaceae.